UGUGUGGUUAUAUCGUUUAUUUUAGUGAAUCGCAAGUGUAAUAAAAACGAUAAAAGAAGUGAAAUCACCUGAAAAUUAGGAUUCAGUAAUAAAUUUACAAGUUCUAAAGAUGAUUGAAAAAGAUUUUCCCCGAGGCGGGAAAAAACCGACAGCUGCACCUGCAUCAAAAUCUUUACUAUUCGAAAAAAAUAAUCCCAUAAAGGAAAAAAAAGCACGCGCAAAAAAGGGUUCAAAAAAUAAAGAUCACGUGGAUGAUGUUCUUGUCGCAU
This is a long non-coding RNA of Belonocnema kinseyi, 269 nucleotides long. RefSeq lists it as uncharacterized. The record is from RefSeq and is a predicted model, not a curated record. The transcript is spliced from 3 exons. Lineage: Eukaryota; Metazoa; Arthropoda; Insecta; Hymenoptera; Cynipidae.